GAUGAACGCUGGCGGCGUGCCUAAUACAUGCAAGUCGAGCGAACAGACGAGGAGCUUGCUCCUCUGACGUUAGCGGCGGACGGGUGAGUAACACGUGGAUAACCUACCUAUAAGACUGGGAUAACUUCGGGAAACCGGAGCUAAUACCGGAUAAUAUAUUGAACCGCAUGGUUCAAUAGUGAAAGACGGUUUUGCUGUCACUUAUAGAUGGAUCCGCGCCGCAUUAGCUAGUUGGUAAGGUAACGGCUUACCAAGGCAACGAUGCGUAGCCGACCUGAGAGGGGAAGCGGCCACACUGGAACUGAGACACGGCCCAGAUUCCUACGGAAGGCAGCAGUAGGGAAUCUUCCGCAAUGGGCGAAAGCUUGACGGAGCAACGCCGCGUGAGUGAUGAAGGUCUUCGGAUCGUAAAACGCUGUUAUUAGGGAAGAACAAAUGUGUAAGUAACUAUGCACGUCUUGACGGUACCUAAUCAGAAAGCCACGGCUAACUACGU
This 496-nucleotide ribosomal RNA is filed under the name uncultured bacterium. RNAcentral describes it as "partial 16S ribosomal RNA". It matches the Rfam family "Bacterial small subunit ribosomal RNA", at positions 28 to 506 of the family's 1533-position model. The record is from RNAcentral.